GAUGGUCUGCUGAUUUGGAUUCUUUAAUCGAAACCUGGUGUAGUUGUUGUGGCGGCGGUGGAGUCCACGUUGCCAAUUGGUUCUGGGUUUCGGAGAAUAUGACUCGGUUGAGAUCGGACGGCGGAGAGCAAGUGUUGCUGAGUCGACUCGGGCAGUGGGGUUGAAACGGAUCGGCGCCAUAGAGACCGAAAUCAGCAUUGUUCCCCUGCCACGUGUCGCAUGCAUAAGGCAGGUUGGAACUAUCCGUUGAAUCCCCACCGCCUAUUAUGCUAUCC
RNAcentral lists this long non-coding RNA (275 nucleotides) under Malus domestica (apple). Its description in RNAcentral is "long non-coding RNA (MDOM_LNC014894)". The record is from RNAcentral. Lineage: Eukaryota; Viridiplantae; Streptophyta; Magnoliopsida; Rosales; Rosaceae.